GCGUCCUUAGCUCAGUGGCAGAGCGCUCCCUUCACACGGGAGAGGUCGAAGGUUCAAUCCCUUCAGGACGCA
This 72-nucleotide transfer RNA is filed under the name Candidatus Ryanbacteria bacterium RIFCSPHIGHO2_01_FULL_45_22. RNAcentral's name for it is "tRNA-Val". It matches the Rfam family "tRNA". Rfam says of the family: Transfer RNA (tRNA) molecules are approximately 80 nucleotides in length. Their secondary structure includes four short double-helical elements and three loops (D, anti-codon, and T loops). Further hydrogen bonds mediate the characteristic L-shaped molecular structure. tRNAs have two regions of fundamental functional importance: the anti-codon, which is responsible for specific mRNA codon recognition, and the 3' end, to which the tRNAs corresponding amino acid is attached (by aminoacyl-tRNA synthetases). tRNAs cope with the degeneracy of the genetic code in two manners: having more than one tRNA (with a specific anti-codon) for a particular amino acid; and 'wobble' base-pairing, i.e. permitting non-standard base-pairing at the 3rd anti-codon position. Lineage: Bacteria; Candidatus Ryaniibacteriota. The record is from RNAcentral. RNAcentral also lists the same sequence under 1 other name.